RNAcentral lists this ribosomal RNA (381 nucleotides) under uncultured bacterium. RNAcentral describes it as "bacterial SSU rRNA". It matches the Rfam family "Bacterial small subunit ribosomal RNA", at positions 28 to 412 of the family's 1533-position model. The record is from RNAcentral.
GACGAACGCUGGCGGCGCGCUUAACACAUGCAAGUCGAGCGGUAAGGCCCUUUCGGGGGUACACGAGCGGCGAACGGGUGAGUAACACGUGGGUGACCUGCCCUUAGCUCUGGGAUAAGCCUGGGAAACUGGGUCUAAUACCGGAUAUGACUCCAUAACGCAUGUUGUGGGGUGGAAAGCCUUGUGCGGCUAGGGAUGGGCCCGCGGCCUAUCAGCUUGUUGGUGGGGUGAUGGCCACCAAGGCGACGACGGGUAGCCGGCCUGAGAGGGCGACCGGCCACACUGGGACUGAGACACGGCCCAGACUCCUACGGGAGGCAGCAGUGGGGAAUCUUGCGCAAUGGGCGAAAGCCUGACGCAGCGACGCCGCGUGGGGAUGAC